CGGAGCUAGAUGUUUAUUGGGCCUAAGCAUCCGUAGCCGGCUUUACAAGUCUCCGGUUAAAUCCAGCUGCCUAACAGAUGGGCUGCCGGAGAUACUACAAAGCUAGGGAGCGGGAGAGGCAGACGGUAUUCGGUGGGUAGGGGUAAAAUCCUCUGAUCCAUUGAGGACCACCAGUGGCGAAGGCGGUCUACCAGAACGCGUUCGACGGUGAGGGAUGAAAGCUGGGGGAGCAAACCGGAUUAGAUACCCGGGUAGUCCCAGCUGUAAACGAUGCAGACUCGGUGAUGCACUGGCUUUUGGCCAGUGCAGUGCCGCAGGGAAGCCGUUAAGUUUGCCGCCUGGGAAGUACGUACGCAAGUAUGAAACUUAAAGGAAUUGGCGGGGGAGCAC
Molecule: ribosomal RNA, 390 nt
Filed under: uncultured archaeon
Lineage: Archaea
Description: bacterial SSU rRNA
Rfam family: Archaeal small subunit ribosomal RNA
Source: RNAcentral